Asparagus officinalis (garden asparagus) is the source of this 832-nucleotide long non-coding RNA. RefSeq lists it as uncharacterized. The transcript has 2 exons. Lineage: Eukaryota; Viridiplantae; Streptophyta; Magnoliopsida; Asparagales; Asparagaceae. The record is from RefSeq and is a predicted model, not a curated record.
AAGCCCAACUCUCUUUUUUUAUUUAUCUUUAAACCUAAUCUCCAAAAUACAAUACUUCAGCACUUGUAUUUAUACAUAAUCCCCCAAAUAUCCCUUGGCCCCGUAUAAACCAGUAUCUCUCCUCAUCUUACCCUUUUCAACUCAGCCCUAAAUUAAAAAAACGACAGCCCCUUUUGCCGCCAUCGCCCAUCCCUAGCCACUGUCGAACCUCUCCAGUCGCCGUCUUCGUUGCCGUCGCCCGCUGCCGUCAUUGUUGCCCAUCGCCCGCAAGGAGGUGAUCGUGGGUUUCGGUUUAGUUGAGCUGCGAAUUUGAUCGAGGGUUUUAGUUGAGGGAUUGGGGGUUGGUUGACGAAGGAUUUGAUCGGAGAACUUGUUGAAGGAGAAGAGAUUGACCUAGGUCGGUGUGGGAUGAGAGGUUGUUGAUCGAGGAUUUGUGUUGAGCUCCGAAUUUGAUCGAGGGUUUCAAUUGAGGGAUUGACGGUUGAUCGGACAAAACUUGUUAAUGGAGAGGAGGUCAAGGAAUCAAAGAAACCCACCUCUUUCAUGAGUAAGUUACUGAAAUUUGGAACGUUACAAUAAAGAUGAAUAUGUAAUCGGGAGUUAGAGUUUGGGUGGGGAGGGAAGUUUAUUACACUGGAAACUAAAAAGAGCGAUGACUAUUAACCUUGAAACAAAGCUGACUCCCUUGUCUUCGACCGCCGCCUCGCCGCCCUCGACACGAAGCUAUAUUGAUGUGUUGAUGUGUUUAUAAUGUACGGGGGCGAUUGGUGAGAUGUAAUUCACAUGAUGAGGUGAUAAAGUUUUUUUAAGAACUGGUUUUAUUUGGAUGCUA